Molecule: long non-coding RNA, 1004 nt
Organism: Oncorhynchus gorbuscha (pink salmon)
Lineage: Eukaryota; Metazoa; Chordata; Actinopteri; Salmoniformes; Salmonidae
Exons: 3
Source: RefSeq, a predicted model, not a curated record
ACAGUGUUAGUAAUGUGACUGACAGGCUGUCCAGCCAAUCGCCACUCCACUUUGGGAGAGGGGUUCCCAUGACUCUCACAGGUACAGUUGAUCUGAUCAGCAGUUCUGAUGCAGCGAGAGGAGGGCAGAAUCUUUGGAGCAACUAUAGACAACAGAGGAGGAAGACAGUGUAGGUCUUCACUGCUGGGUUGGCAUUGCUGCUGCAGGUCAGAGUCACAGAGCUGCCCUCUACCACUGGACCAGAGGGACUGACCGACAAUGAGGUGUUCUUGGCAGGAUCUGAAGAAGUGAAGAAGCAUAUUGUAUGGAAACAGGUGUAGGUCUUCACUGCUGGGUUGGCAUUGCUGCUGCAGGUCAGAGUCACAGAGCUGCCCUCUACCACUGAACCAGAGGGACUGACCGACAAUGAGGUGUUCUUGGCAGGAUCUGAAGAAGUGAAGAAGCAUAUUGUAUGGAAACAGGUAGUUUAGAGUGUGUUAUGACACUAGCCAUAGUGUUAAACUAUUGUGUACAUUUGUUUUUAUUUUGCACUUACACAUCCCAUCUAGUUGAGUGACAGAUGAGUUCUGGGAUCCAAGACGAUUUCUGGUCUCACAAUAGAACUGGCUGUUGUCUGCUGGUACCUUGAUAGUUAGCAUUCUGCUAGAUCCCACUUCUGUGACCUGUUCUUGAUUGACUCUGUACCAGGUGUAGCUCCCCACUGCUGGGUUGGCAUUGCUGCUGCAGGUCAGAGUCACAGAGCUGCCCUCUAUUGCUGAACUAGAGGGACUGACUGACACUGAGGUGUUUUUUGGUGGGUCUGAAAAACAACAAAGAAUAUGCAAUUAAAAUGUUCUACCUGUUUUUUGGUUUGUUUAAUAAGUUAUUACUUGAGGCUCCAGUAUGUUUGUAAUGUUGUACUUACAUAGCACAUUCAGUAGAAUGAUUGAUGAGUUCUUUGUACCAUGGUCAUUCCUGGCCUCACAGUAGAACUGGUGGUUGUCUAUAGAUGCUUCCGUUUUUAA